CGAGAAGCGAGCCUGCGAAGGCAAGCGGAUCUCUUAAAGCUGUUCUCAGUUCGGACUGCAGUCCGCAACUCGACUGCACGAAGCUGGAAUCGCUAGUAAUCGCGGAUCAGCACGCCGCGGUGAAUACGUUCCCGGGCCUUGUACACACCGCCCGUCAAGCCAUGGGAGCCGGGGGUGCUUGAAGUGCGUCGCCGUGAGGCGCGCCCUAGAGCAAAACCGGUGACUGGGGCUAAGUCGUAACAAGGUACC
RNAcentral lists this ribosomal RNA (249 nucleotides) under uncultured bacterium. RNAcentral's name for it is "partial 16S ribosomal RNA". It matches the Rfam family "Bacterial small subunit ribosomal RNA", at positions 1243 to 1500 of the family's 1533-position model. The record is from RNAcentral.